AUGAUGACAUGUGCCACAUGGGCUAUUCUUAGCCAAUCAUUUUGAUGAUGUGGACACCCUCUUAAUCAAGGUAAUUCACCUUAAGCGCCAAACUCUUUUCUUUUAAUCUCCUCUCUCACAUUCUCAGUUCUCACGUUUUCUCAAAAAACCCUAAAUCAUCUACCGCCGCUUACCACUCUCCACCAUCACAUUCUUCUAUAUGAAACAAUUCUACAUGAUUCGAUCGAAACUGAAUUAAAGGUAUCACUUGAAGCUUUCACAAAGCCUAAUUCUCAGCGAGUCGAUUCUCAUGUAUCUAUGAUUCAGAUUCAGAUCCCAUCUAUCUCUGAUUCCUUUCAAAAACUCUACAUCUAUACCAGCCGAUUCUCAUCAAAGCGAUUAUCAUAAACCCUAAAUAAACCCUCAAUUGGAACCAGUCGAAUGCUAAUCCAUAAUGAUGAACGAAAAUGGCCAGAAUAUGGACCCGGGUUCGUGCGUGUUGGUGGGUUUGUACUGUGGAGAUGGUGGUGAUAAGAAAGCUUAAUCAGAUAAUGCUUGCUUAUAGAUAUUAUGAACUUGAACCAUAAACGAUAAAAGAAGACAUAUUGGAUGUUGUUAGCUGGAACGGUAAUAUUUACUCCGCAGUUAGUAUUUGGUGCAAACGCAUGCCGAAGGUUUUAUAUGAUACAAUUUGUACAUUGACAGAACUCAGGUAUUUUGUUUUUCAUGGUAACUUUUAUGCUGAUGGGGCUGAAGCAUACCAAAUGGAAUUUUGGAUCAGACAUAUUGAUGGAUCACGUUUCAAAUCAGAUGCAGAGAGACAGAAAGUGAUACAAUUUUCUUGAAGUAGCGAUAUAGAGAAGAGUUUCCGCGGAGCUAAAGAUAUAGAUACACACGAAAGACAGAGUUGGGUUAUUAUCUGACGCUAUGCACUUAAUAGCAUGCUAUAACGAUGUUAAUUCUUACAAGGUCACAUAGUUGAUCUAAAUAAACACUACAAAUCCAUGUUGUUUGAUUUUCUUAACGGGUCAGACUAUCGCUUGGAUUCUUGGUUAGCUUGCAGGUGACAUUUCAUGGGUCAGGUCGCCACAUGCAUUUGUAACUUCACUUAAUCUUUUAAUCUUUUUAGUUUAAUGUUUUCUUUGUAAAAAGCUCAAAUUCAAAACCGUUAGGGUAGUGUAUGAAGCCAACUGGGAGCUAGGGGAGUGUUUGUUAAUUUCUUUUUCCCUUUUAUGUCAAUGUGGUUAACCAUUUUAUAUUACGGAUCUAAAAAGGCGAUGAAGUUGAAUCAGAAACGAUGGCGUACUUUUAUGAAAUUAGUGAAGACGUGUCAACCAUUGCAGGUUAUGGCGGCGAAGGUUAAUCAGAAACGACGACGUAUUUUGUGAAAUUGGUGAAGAGUUUGUUUCAAACUGAUGGAUGGAUCUGGUUAUCGUCAUGUUUGGCCUCUAUGUAGAUUGACUGAAGA
This 1447-nucleotide long non-coding RNA is filed under the name Helianthus annuus (common sunflower). The record is from RNAcentral. Lineage: Eukaryota; Viridiplantae; Streptophyta; Magnoliopsida; Asterales; Asteraceae.